AGGAACUCAUCAACUUGUUGCAGACUUUGCUUUCGGUCCUUUGCAAAUAGAAGUUUUGUGCUGACUAGUUGGAUAAGUCCAGCAGAACCUAACAGUUGAAGUAAUGUUUCCGCCUCUGAGAACACCAAAAGUCCAAACGCAGCAGCUGCGGCAACACCCAAACCUACAGCGACAGAAUCAGAACCCUCCCCAAAAAGACCAUCAAGAACAUCAGACAGGCCCAGAUCAAGACUAAAUGUUUUCUUAGGAAGUAUCCAAGGGAGGCCACUAUUCUUCCAUCCUCGGGGACCUUCAG
Molecule: unclassified non-coding RNA, 295 nt
Filed under: Hevea brasiliensis (rubber tree)
Lineage: Eukaryota; Viridiplantae; Streptophyta; Magnoliopsida; Malpighiales; Euphorbiaceae
Source: RNAcentral